CCCCAAUCUCAACUUCUUCAUUCAACUACUUCAGAUUUAGAUUAAGGAAUAAAGUUAGUGAUUUUGAGGUCAAUUGUGUUCAAUCCAAUUCUUCAAAUACCCAAAGCUCUUUGCUUUCUCAAACUUUGAGGUAAAUCUUAUAGUAACAUCUUUUACUAUUUCAGCAGCAAUUUUAGUGCUUUUUUAUUUGAUCUGUAAAUAUAGUCUUUUUGGGUACUAGCCAAUUUUUCAGAAUGGCUAAUGGUAAACAAAAUACAAGUUCAGCAGAUAAACUUGUGAUAGGUGCAGCUGUAGGUGCAUCUCUCCUAGUGAUCCUCGCAAUAGUUAUCUCUAUUGUUUUCCUCUACAAAAGACGAGUAAUAGCAGGGCCAAGAUUUAGUAUGAGAAGUUACUCCGUGACAAAGAGUAAGUACACUCUACUCAGUGACAAAGAGUAAGUACACUCUCAACACACCAGGAACAGAUACUGUUAUGCAACUUUCCGGUACCCAGUAGUCAUAGAGUACAUUCCUGGGAUAGUCAUGUUGUCAUAUUAAAUAUCCAGAUUUUGUGUAUAGUUUUAUGUACCAGUUAAUUUACACAUCUUCAACAAAGAAGAUGGUCAAUUUUGGGAAGUGAAAUUUCAUUGUUGAGAGCAGAAAUAGGUGUAUGAACACUAAUUUUGAUUGUGCGGAAGGAUGAACGUAUUAAUAGUUUAUUUCUAAAUCUGGAAAAUCACACAACAGUUACAACUUGAGCUUGACAUCUUUAAAACCUCUAUAUGUGUUUCUAUAAAAGGAAAGAGAUUGUAGGCCAGCAACGUAAGUAUUCACUCUAGAGUCGUGUGAAAAUUUCCUCCAAUUCGGUCUUUUCAUUCAACUCUAUCCAGCAGUCUUGCUUAUAGAAAAAUAUGGGUAAAACCAGGAGAAAAAUAAAGGAAUAGUCUCACAGGCCUCUGGUAUCAACAUCUACAAUUGACUGGAAUUACCUGCGAUUAGUCUCAUGAGUUCCUGGUGUGCUGCGGCUAGACAGCAGAAGGCUAUGAAGAUCUUCCCUAGGCCAACUGCGGGAUCAAUUUAUUUGCUUUUUUCUUAAGUUAAAAAGUGAUGUUUGAUUUAUUUAUCUUCAGACAACAGCUAUACAAUUUUCCUAACAUGUUCUCCAGCGGUUUGAAUUUGAACCAACACAUUCAUGUGUAUUUUCUGGAAUUUUUGACAGAUAUGCAAGGAAUUGAAAGAAAAUAGUGGUUGUUUUAGAUGAUAACCACUGCUUGCAGCUUGUGAAGGCUGCAUUUAAGCAUGUUGAUAAGUUUUCAGUUCAUUUUCAAUUACUCUUUCAUUGAAAAGUGGAUUUUUUACAAUAUACUAGAUCAUAUGCCACAUAUAAAGCCUGAUGUAUGUCAACAACAACAUGAAGAGCACUGUUUUUACAGUGUAGAUUUGCAUCCAAGAUUUAACAGAAAAGGCAAAUUUUGCAUCCUUUUGAAGAAUGCCCUUAUAAAUCUUUCUUGGGACCAAUGUAACAAAGGGAAAACGAGAGAAGAGUUA
Nicotiana attenuata is the source of this 1526-nucleotide long non-coding RNA. RefSeq lists it as uncharacterized. The transcript is spliced from 3 exons. NCBI's taxonomy places the organism in Eukaryota, Viridiplantae, Streptophyta, Magnoliopsida, Solanales, Solanaceae. The record is from RefSeq and is a predicted model, not a curated record.